This 1572-nucleotide ribosomal RNA is filed under the name Triticum aestivum (bread wheat). RNAcentral's name for it is "partial small subunit ribosomal RNA". The record is from RNAcentral. Lineage: Eukaryota; Viridiplantae; Streptophyta; Magnoliopsida; Poales; Poaceae.
AUGGCGCUCGUUCUCACAGUUUGCUUCUUGGGCUUCUUCGUGCCCGCUCUGGCGUCGCCCUCCAACGACAACGACUUCCUCCAGUGCCUCUCGACGAACAUCCCCAGCCAGCUCGUGCAGACGCCGAGCUCGCCGUCGUUCAAGCAGCUCCUGGUGUCAUCCAUCAGGAACGCCAGGUUCGUGGCGCCGGCCACGGCGAGGCCGCCGCUCUGCAUCGUGACGCCCACCAACGCGUCGCAUGUCCAGGCCGCCGUGCGCUGCGGGCGCCGCCUAAGCGUGCGCGUCCGCAUGCGCAGCGGCGGGCACGAUUGUGAGGGCCUCUCGUACAGAUCGGGCAGCCCCAACAGCGAGGGGUUCGCGGUGAUCGACCUCGCCAAGCUCCACGCCGUCCGCGUCAACCCACAAGAGGCCACAGCCUGGGUCGACUCCGGGGCGGGGAUCGGGGAGCUCUACUACCAUGUCGCCACGGCGGCGCCUGGGCUGGGCUUCCCGGCUGGCGUGUGCCCGACCGUGGGCGUGGGGGGCAUCUUCAGCGGCGGCGGCAUAGGCCUGAUGAUGCGCAAGCAUGGUCUCUCCGCCGACAACGUGUUGGACGCCACCAUGGUCGAUGCCGAAGGGAACCUCCUGGCGGACAAGAAAGCCAUGGGGGACGACCUCUUCUGGGCCAUCCGCGGCGGCGGCGGCGGUAAUUUCGGCAUCGUGCUGUCGUGGAAGGUGAGGCUGGUGCCUGUUCCACCGACGGUGACCUUCUUCAGAGUCCCCAAGACCAUGGACCAGGGCGCAGUCGACGCCGUGACCAAAUGGCAAACGGUCGCGCCGGUGCUCCCCGACGACCUUAGCGUACGUGUCGUCGUGCAAAACCGUCAGGCCAACUUCCAGGCCUUGUACCUCGGCAACAGCAGCGCGGCGGUGGCGACGAUGGGGAGCCGGUUCCCAGAGCUCGGGGUGACACGUGCCAACUGCAAGGAGAUGAGCUGGCUGCAGUACACGGCAUACAUAUACUUCCGCGACGACAUCUACAACAAGCCGCUGGACGAGCUCCUCCUCAACCGGUCCAUGACCUUAGGCCCCUUCUUCAAGAACAAGUCGGACUACGUCAAGAAACCCCUGAGCAAGGACACAUUGGAGAAGAUGUUCCUCUGGCCCGAGGGUGCCGCGACGGGGCAGCUCGUCCUUGAGCCGCACGGCGGAAGAAUGGGCCGCAUCGCGGCCGAUAACACCCCUUUCCCGUACCGGAGCAGCGUGCUCUACAACAUCCAGUACGUCGAGUUCUGGAACGGCGAAGGGACCGGAGGCAAGGUUACACCCGACUGGGUCGGGAGCCUCUAUGACUUCAUGGCGCCGUUUGUGAGUAAGGACCCGAGGGGUGCGUACGUGAAUUACCGGGACCUUGACAUCGGCGCGAACAAGGUGGUUGACGGCGUGACGAGCUAUGAAAGUGCCAAGGUGUGGGGCGAGAGUUAUUUCGGCCCGGAAAACUUUAAGAGACUCGCAAAGAUCAAGCGCAAGGUGGACGCCGGCGACUACUUCUGGAGCGAGCAAAGCGUCCCACCACUUCCCUUGAACCAGUAG